Acinonyx jubatus (cheetah) is the source of this 377-nucleotide long non-coding RNA. RefSeq lists it as uncharacterized. Lineage: Eukaryota; Metazoa; Chordata; Mammalia; Carnivora; Felidae. The record is from RefSeq and is a predicted model, not a curated record. The transcript has 4 exons.
AGCUGCAUCACGGGUCAAAAGGCCAGCUGCCAGGUUGGAACAGACCCGAAGGCUUCUGGAUUGGAAGAUGAAAUCGAAGACAACUUAUUUUGCCUCCUUUUCUCAGUCAACAUAAAUGGUAUCAGAACAGCGGGGGAUCUGAAGCGAUGUACCAUUCUGAUUCUGGGACUGCCGUUGGAUUUGAACAUGGUACCUGCCUAAGCAGGCGGUUCGGGGUUCUGCCGGAUCUUAUCGUCGCCUGGGAUGACAGCUUCAAGGAGAUUCAUGGAAAGGACUUUUGACACAUACAGGUUUCUGAUAACCUUAAGAUCACAAAACUGAACUGGAUAAGAAUUUCUGCAGCUACUGGGAAGUCUGGAUUCAAAAAAAACCAAGAA